Molecule: ribosomal RNA, 253 nt
Filed under: uncultured bacterium
Lineage: Bacteria
Description: partial 16S ribosomal RNA
Rfam family: Bacterial small subunit ribosomal RNA
Source: RNAcentral
UACGGAGGAUGCAAGCGUUAUCCGGAAUUAUUGGGCGUAAAGCGUCCGCAGGUGGCUAUGUAAGUCUGCUGUUAAAGAGCGAGGCUCAACCUCAUAAGAGCAGUGGAAACUACAUGGCUAGAGUGCGUUCGGGGCAGAGGGAAUUCCUGGUGUAGCGGUGAAAUGCGUAGAUAUCAGGAAGAACACCGGUGGCGAAAGCGCUCUGCUGGGACGCAACUGACACUGAGGGACGAAAGCUAGGGGAGCGAAUGGG